Molecule: non-coding RNA, 534 nt
Filed under: Pongo abelii (Sumatran orangutan)
Lineage: Eukaryota; Metazoa; Chordata; Mammalia; Primates; Hominidae
Source: RNAcentral
GAAACCAUGGCAUGGAGACGGAAUGAUGCAGACUCCUAUCUGCGAGACACCUGCUGUAGUUUCGCUGUGGUUCGUGAGGACGCGUCCUGGGCUGCCCUGAGAAGCCCACGUCUCCCCUUCGAGGCCUGGGAAGACCUCCGACCCCGCUGACAAUGCUGGGCCCUCGGCCAGACCUGCCUUGCGUGCCACUUUCUGUUCUAAGAUCGGGCUGCCGAGCUGUGGCCUGGAGGAAACCUGGCAGGUGGGGCUGCCAUGAGCAGCAAGCUCAGUCCAGAAGAGCAGUUCCUCUCCAGGAUCUACUUCCUGCGCACUUUUAUGUGCAGUGUAGCUGGAGCAGAGCUCCCCGGAAUUCCACAGGCAACUGAGAACGGAGAGGGAUGCAGGCCAGCCAGGGAUCCAGCGUCUUCCCCAUCACCACUCUCCAUGGUCUCCGUCUGCACACAGUGUCCCUCUGCACAACUUGUCAGCGCGUUAUCAUGACUUCUAUUUGGCCCCGGCCCGUCCAUCCCACUGUCCUGGCUUGUUCCAAGCGCU